GGCNGAGGGNUGUAGAAUUCCACGUGUAGCAGUGAAAUGCGUAGAGAUGUGGAGGAAUACCGAUGGCGAAGGCAGCCCCCUGGGCCAAUACUGACGCUCAUGCACGAAAGCGUGGNGNGCAAACAGGAUUAGAUACCCUGGUAGUCCACGCCCUAAACGAUGUCAACUAGUUGUUGGNNAUUCAUUUCCUUAGUAACGUAGCUAACGCGUGAAGUUGACCGCCUGGGGUGUACGGUCGCAAGAUUAAAACUCAAAGGAAUUGACGNGGACCCGCACAAGCGGUGGAUGAUGUGGAUUAAUUCGAUGCAACGCGAAAAACCUUACCUACCCUUGACAUGGUCGGAAUCCUGCUGAGAGGUGGGAGUGCUCGAAAGAGAACCGGCGCACAGGUGC
This 393-nucleotide ribosomal RNA is filed under the name Burkholderia ambifaria. Its description in RNAcentral is "bacterial SSU rRNA". It matches the Rfam family "Bacterial small subunit ribosomal RNA", at positions 650 to 1041 of the family's 1533-position model. Lineage: Bacteria; Pseudomonadati; Pseudomonadota; Betaproteobacteria; Burkholderiales; Burkholderiaceae. The record is from RNAcentral.